This 406-nucleotide ribosomal RNA is filed under the name uncultured bacterium. RNAcentral's name for it is "partial 16S ribosomal RNA". It matches the Rfam family "Bacterial small subunit ribosomal RNA", at positions 29 to 526 of the family's 1533-position model. The record is from RNAcentral.
AUUGAACGCUGGCGGCAGGCCUAACACAUGCAAGUCGAACGAGUGGCGGACGGGUGAGUAAUGUCUGGGAAACUGCCCGAUGGAGGGGGAUAACUACUGGAAACGGUAGCUAAUACCGCAUACCAUCGGAUGUGCCCAGAUGGGAUUAGCUUGUAGGUGAGGUAACGGCUCAACUAGGCGACGAUCCCUAGCGGGUCUGAGAGGAUGACCAGCCACACGGUAACUGAGACACGGUCCCGACUCCUACGGGAGGAAGAAGGGGGGAAUAGUGCACAAUGGGCGAAAGCGUGAUGCAGCCAUGGCGGGUGUAUGAAGAAGGCCUUCGGGUUGUAAAGUACGUUCAGCGGGGAGGCGUUACCCGCAGAAGAAGCACCGGCUAACUCCGUGCCAGCAGCCGCGGUAAUAC